UGGCUGAGUUAAUUUAGGAUGGCUAGCCUCA
Molecule: non-coding RNA, 31 nt
Filed under: Mus musculus (house mouse)
Lineage: Eukaryota; Metazoa; Chordata; Mammalia; Rodentia; Muridae
Source: RNAcentral